RNAcentral lists this ribosomal RNA (250 nucleotides) under uncultured bacterium. RNAcentral describes it as "partial 16S ribosomal RNA". It matches the Rfam family "Bacterial small subunit ribosomal RNA", at positions 355 to 622 of the family's 1533-position model. The record is from RNAcentral.
UAACGAAUCUUCCGCAAUGGGCGAAAGCCUGACGGAGCAAUGCCGCGUGUGGGAUGAAGCGCCUUCGGCGUGUAAACCACUGUCAGGGAACGGAACCAAUGAUUGUUCCCAAAGGAAGUGGCGACUAACUCUGUGCCAGCAGUCGCGGUAAUACAGAGGCCACAAGCGUUAGUCGGAAUCACUGGGCUUAAAGGGUGCGUAGGCGGGCUCGCAAGCGUCUUGUGAAAUCCCAUGGCUCAACCAUGGAAUU